RNAcentral lists this unclassified non-coding RNA (317 nucleotides) under uncultured fungus. RNAcentral describes it as "sequence contains ITS1". The stretch from base 1 to 106 matches the Rfam family "5.8S ribosomal RNA", at positions 50 to 154 of the family's 154-position model. Lineage: Eukaryota; Fungi. The record is from RNAcentral.
CAAAUGCGAUACGCAAUGCGAAUUGCAGAAUUCCGCGAGUCAUCAGAUCUUUGAACGCAAAUGGCGCUAGGUUAACCAAUACCCUAGCAUGUUUGUUUCAGUGUGUUAGGAAUCAUAUAUCUUAAUGCGAUUGAAAAAUAAAACUUUCUCUCGUUAAAUAUGAAAGCGCUGAAUCGUUCAGUGCCGACCGAAGUAGUCACUUCUUUGCAAGUGAUCUCGGUUGUGCAUAACUGAGGAUUCACUUAAAGCGAUCUUUUUUUAAUAAAAUAUUCUCCAUUCAACACCUGAAAUCAAGCAAGAUCACCCGCUGAACUUAA